UGAUGGAGCAUGAACCUCAGUGGUGGGUGAAGGUCUUCUGGUGGAGGUGCUGGUGGACAAUCAGGUCUUCUGGUCAGGUGGACAUGAUGGUGGAGGUGAUGGUGGACCAUCAGGUCUUCAGGGUGGGGUCUGAUGGAGCAUGGGUGAAGGUCUUCUGGUGGAGGUGAUGGUGGACCAUCAGGUCUUCAGGGUGGGGUCUGAUGGAGCAUGAACCUCAGUGGUGGGUGAAGGUCUUCUGGUGGAGGUGCUGGUGGACAAUCAGGUCUUCUGGUCAGGUGGACAUGAUGGUGGAGGUGAUGGUGGACCAUCAGGUCUUCAGGGUGGGGUCUGAUGGAGCAUGAACCUCAGUGGUGGGUGAAGGUCUUCUGGUGGAGGUGAUGGUGGACCAUCAGGUCUUCAGGGUGGGGUCUGGAGGAGCAUGGGUGAAGGUCUUCUGGUGGAGGUGCUGGUGGACCAUCAGGUCUUCAGGGUGGGGUCUGAUGGAGCAUGAACCUGGUGGAGGUGCUGGUGGACCAUCAGGUCUUCAGGGUGGGGUCUGAUGGAGCAUGGGUGAAGGUCUUCUGGUGGAGGUGCUGGUGGACCAUCAGGUCUUCUGGUCAGGUGGAGUCUUCAUGAAGAAAGGUGGAGGUGAUGGUGGACCACCAGGUCUUCAGGGUGGGGUCUGGAGGAGCAUGGGUGAAGGUCUUCUGGUGGAGGUGAUGGUGGACCAUCAGGUCUUCUGGUCAGGUGGAGGUGAUAGUGGAGGUGAUGGUGAAGGUCUUCUGGUGGAGGUGCUGGUGGACCAUCAGGUCUUCAGGGUGGGGUCUGAUGGAGCAUGGGUGAAGGUCUUCUGGUGGAGGUGCUGGUGGACCAUCAGGUCUUCUGGUCAGGUGGAGGUGAUAGUGGAGGUGAUGGUGAAGGUCUUCUGGUGGAGGUGCUGGUGGACCAUCAGGUCUUCAGGGUGGGGUCUGAUGGAGCAUGGGUGAAGGUCUUCUGGUGGAGGUGCUGGAGGACCAUCAGGUCUUCUGGUCAGGUGGAGUCUUCAUGAAGAAAGGUGGAGGUUCCUGCUGGGCUUCAUCAGCUGCUGGUUCUGACCCAGACCGUGACAGGAAGUGAUGUAACAGCCCUGCAUCCUUCUGGAGAUCUGCUGUGACAGGGAGCUGGUUGCCAUGGUUACAGCCACGGUUGCCUAGGUAACCGCUCCCCUGAGGAGGCAGCAGCUGUUACCGGGGAGUCACCGUGGCAACGGGCAGCAGCGCCGCCGCCAUGGUUACCAUGUUUCUAAGCUCUGGUUCUGGUUCUGUGUC
This is an RNA transcript of Fundulus heteroclitus (mummichog), 1286 nucleotides long. RefSeq lists it as uncharacterized. The transcript is spliced from 6 exons. The record is from RefSeq and is a predicted model, not a curated record. NCBI's taxonomy places the organism in Eukaryota, Metazoa, Chordata, Actinopteri, Cyprinodontiformes, Fundulidae.